RNAcentral lists this ribosomal RNA (253 nucleotides) under uncultured bacterium. RNAcentral describes it as "partial 16S ribosomal RNA". It matches the Rfam family "Bacterial small subunit ribosomal RNA", at positions 524 to 776 of the family's 1533-position model. The record is from RNAcentral.
UACGUAGGGUGCAAGCGUUGUCCGGAAUUACUGGGCGUAAAGCGUGCGCAGGCGGUUAUGUAAGACAGUUGUGAAAUCCCCGGGCUCAACCUGGGAACUGCAUCUGUGACUGCAUAGCUAGAGUACGGUAGAGGGGGAUGGAAUUGCGCGUGUAGCAGUGAAAUGCGUAGAUAUGCGGAGGAACACCGAUGGCGAAGGCAAUCCCCUGGACCUGUACUGACGCUCAUGCACGAAAGCGUGGGGAGCAAACAGG